RNAcentral lists this ribosomal RNA (2735 nucleotides) under Haloarcula sp. K1. RNAcentral describes it as "bacterial LSU rRNA". It matches the Rfam family "Archaeal large subunit ribosomal RNA". The record is from RNAcentral. Lineage: Archaea; Methanobacteriati; Methanobacteriota; Halobacteria; Halobacteriales; Haloarculaceae.
GCUACUAUGCCAGCUGGUGGAUUGCUCGGCUCAGGCGCUGAUGAAGGACGUGCCAAGCUGCGAUAAGCUGUGGGGAGCCGCACGGAGGCGAAGAACCACAGAUUUCCGAAUGAGAAUCUCUCUAACAAUUGCUUCGCGCAAUGAGGAACCCCGAGAACUGAAACAUCUCAGUAUCGGGAGGAAAAGAAAACGCAACGUGAUGUCGUCAGUAACCGCGAGUGAACGCGAUACAGCCCAAACCGAAGCCCUCACGGGCAAUGUGGUGUCCGGGCUACCUCUCAUCAGCCGACCGUCUCGACGAAGUCUCUUGGAACAGAGCGUGAUACAGGGUGACAACCCCGUACUCGAGACCAGUACGCUGUGCGGUAGUGCCAGAGUAGCGGGGGUUGGAUAUCCCUCGCGAAUAACGCAGGCAUCGACUGCGAAGGCUAAACACAACCUGAGACCGAUAGUGAACAAGUAGUGUGAACGAACGCUGCAAAGUACCCUCAGAAGGGAGGCGAAAUAGAGCAUGAAAUCAGUUGGCGAUCGAGCGACAGGGCAUACAAGGUCCCAUGACGAAUGACCGAGACGCGAGUCUCCAGUAAGACUCACGGGAAGCCGAUGUUCUGUCGUACGUUUUGAAAAACGAGCCAGGGAGUGUGUCUGUAUGGCAAGUCUAACCGGAGUAUCCGGGGAGGCACAGGGAAACCGACAUGGCCGCAGGGCUUUGCCCGAGGGCCGCCGUGUUCAAGCGCGGGGAGCCAUGUGGACACGACCCGAAUCCGGACGAUCUACGCAUGGACAAGAUGAAGCGUGCCGAAAGGCACGUGGAAGUCUGUUAGAGUUGGUGUCCUACAAUACCCUCUCGUGAUCUAUGUGUAGGGGUGAAAGGCCCAUCGAGUCCGGCAACAGCUGGUUCCAAUCGAAACAUGUCGAAGCAUGACCUCCGCCGAGGUAGUCUGUGGGGUAGAGCGACCGAUUGGUGUGUCCGCCUCCGAGAGGAGUCGGCACACCUGUCAAACUCCAAACCUACAGACGCUGUUUGACGCGGGGAUUCCGGUGCGCGGGGUAAGCCUGUGUACCAGGAGGGGAACAACCCAGAGAUAGGUUAAGGUCCCCAAGUGUGGAUUAAGUGUAAUCCUCUGAAGGUGGUCUCGAGCCCUAGACAGCCGGGAGGUGAGCUUAGAAGCAGCUACCCUCUAAGAAAAGCGUAACAGCUUACCGGCCGAGGUUUGAGGCGCCCAAAAUGAUCGGGACUCAAAUCCACCACCGAGACCUGUCCGUACCACUCAUACUGGUAAUCGAGUAGAUUGGCGCUCGCAUUGGGUGGAAGCAGGGAUGAGAAUUCCUGUGGACCGAUGCGUGACGAAAAUCCUGGCCAUAGUAGCAGCGAUAGUCGGGUGAGAACCCCGACGGCCUAAUGGAUAAGGGUUCCUCAGCACUGCUGAUCAGCUGAGGGUUAGCCGGUCCUAAGUCAUACCGCAACUCGACUAUGACGAAAUGGGAAACNNUGUCCGUACCGAGAACCGACACAGGUGUCCAUGGCGGCGAAAGCCAAGGCCUGUCGGGAGCAACCAACGUUAGGGAAUUCGGCAAGUUAGUCCCGUACCUUCGGAAGAAGGGAUGCCUGCUCCGGAACGGAGCAGGUCGCAGUGACUCGGAAGCUCGGACUGUCUAGUAACAACAUAGGUGACCGCAAAUCCGCAAGGACUCGUACGGUCACUGAAUCCUGCCCAGUGCAGGUAUCUGAACACCUCGUACAAGAGGACGAAGGACCUGUCAACGGCGGGGGUAACUAUGACCCUCUUAAGGUAGCGUAGUACCUUGCCGCAUCAGUAGCGGCUUGCAUGAAUGGAUUAACCAGAGCUUCACUGUCCCAACGUUGGGCCCGGUGAACUGUACAUUCCAGUGCGGAGUCUGGAGACACCCAGGGGGAAGCGAAGACCCUAUGGAGCUUUACUGCAGGCUGUCGCUGAGACGUGGUCGCCGAUGUGCAGCAUAGGUAGGAGACAUUACACAGGUACCCGCGCUAGCGGGCCACCGAGUCAACAGUGAAAUACUACCCGUCGGUGACUGCGACUCUCACUCCGGGAGGAGGACACCGAUAGCCGGGCAGUUUGACUGGGGCGGUACGCGCUCGAAAAGAUAUCGAGCGCGCCCUAUGGCUAUCUCAGCCGGGACAGAGACCCGGCGAAGAGUGCAAGAGCAAAAGAUAGCUUGACAGUGUUCUUCCCAACGAGGAACGCUGACGCGAAAGCGUGGUCUAGCGAACCAAUUAGCCUGCUUGAUGCGGGCAAUUGAUGACAGAAAAGCUACCCUAGGGAUAACAGAGUCGUCACUCGCAAGAGCACAUAUCGACCGAGUGGCUUGCUACCUCGAUGUCGGUUCCCUCCAUCCUGCCCGUGCAGAAGCGGGCAAGGGUGAGGUUGUUCGCCUAUUAAAGGAGGUCGUGAGCUGGGUUUAGACCGUCGUGAGACAGGUCGGCUGCUAUCUACUGGGUGUGUUAUGGUGUCUGACAAGAACGACCGUAUAGUACGAGAGGAACUACGGUUGGUGGCCACUGGUGUACCGGUUGUUCGAGAGAGCACGUGCCGGGUAGCCACGCCACACGGGGUAAGAGCUGAACGCAUCUAAGCUCGAAACCCACUUGGAAAAGAGACACCGCUGAGGUCCCGCGUAGAAGACGCGGUCGAUAGACUCGGGGUGUGCGCGUCGAGGUAACGAGACGUUAAGCCCACGAGCACUAACAGACC